AGUGAUACCCGGUCCCACUCAGCAGAGAUUCUGGUGAAAUUGGUUUGGGAUCGGGCUCGCACACCGGUAGGUUGGAAGAGUUCCCCAGGUGAUGCUAAUGUGUAGCUGGGCUUGAGAACCACUGCAAUCGGGGCUGACCAGUGAAGUGAUUUGCUUCUGAUAACCUGAAAACCCGAAUCCACAUGGGUCUGAUCCUCCACUCUGGGGUUCUUCCGACAAACUCAGAGUUCUCCGUGGCUUUGGCAUCUGUCUGAAUCGAAAGCAAAUUCUUGGCGAUCAAGUCUACUCCUCCUUAAUCCAAAGGGAAUCCAAUUCGCUUCAAAUACAGUGCCAAAAGAACUUCUGUUUUUCGUUUUGUUUUGUUUGGUGAGGAAGAUGGGCCUGAGCUAACGUCUGUGCCAGUCUUUCUGUAUUUUGUAUGUGGGAUGCUGCCACAGCAUGGCUUGAUGAGUGCUGUGUAGGUCCUGCCCAGGAUCCGGGCCUGCGAACCCCGGGCUCCCGAGGCAAAGCACGCAAACUUAACCACUACACCACCAGGCCGGCCCCAAGCGCUUCUGGUUUUUGCCUCUCUCUCAAACUGUUCGUGUGUUUCAUGCCUGGGAACUGCAUUCUUCAGCCAAGUUGGAGAAAUCCCUAUAAAAAUAGUCCCCUUUCCUGAGUGCCUGGUGUAGUUAAGGCACUUGACAUGCAGUUUCAUUUAAUCCCCAGAACCCUCUUACGAGCUGAUACAGCUGGGAUUCCAACCCAAGCAUUCAUGUGCUUCCCCUCACCACCUGUGCCUCCCGCGCUGCCCAGAGCACGGGGCAGCUGGCAGACAGUGGCGUUGUGCCCUGGAUCCGCAGAGGAAAGACGACUCUGUGAAGGAUUGAUAUUCUCCAACACAGAGCGGAUCGAUGCACGUAAUUCUUGCAGAUUUCCUUUGGCUUUGCGCCGUGAGGGAGGGAGACAGUUGGAAACGUCCUGAUUUUGAGAGGAAGCCGGUGUUUCCUGAAGCCUUUGUUUUGGGUGCGCCUUAACCGCACCUGCGUUUCUUGCAGCUUCUUACAAAGAAACUUCUUUUUUUGUUUUGAGAGUCAAAAUAGUUGAACUGAAGUUAUUUUCAACCGGAGGGAAAUGUUUGAAAGCUCAGCCUUUGUGAGCCCAAAGAGCAUUGUUUCAUCGACAGUGAUUGAAACAGUCAUUUCCUUUGGGAAGUCUUUGCCAUUGAAGCAAACUUUGAUUUUGGAAGCAAAAGUUUUGGCUUUAAAGAUGGGAUCCAAGUGUUACACCUUCUUCUCAUAGCUCCCCGGCCAUUUAUCGGAGUGCUGUGAUAGUAAGGUUGUUUGCAUUUGAACAGAAAGACCUGCUCUGGCCAGCUGGGCUGAUGCUAAGAGGCAGUAUAGUUCAGUGGUGAGGAGCACAUCCCUUACAGCUGGGCUGCCUGGGUUUGCCUCACUCUGCCACUUGCAAGCUGGAAUCUUCGGCAAAUUACAUAACUGUCCCGAACUUCAGUUUCUGCCUUUAUAAAAUGGGGAUGAAGAUAGUAUUUAUUUCCUAUGAUUUUUUAUAAUUAUUAAUUAACAUAAUAAAAAGUACUUAAAUCCAAUAA
Equus asinus (donkey) is the source of this 1588-nucleotide long non-coding RNA. NCBI's taxonomy places the organism in Eukaryota, Metazoa, Chordata, Mammalia, Perissodactyla, Equidae. The record is from Ensembl.